This 875-nucleotide ribosomal RNA is filed under the name Bacillus sp. (in: firmicutes). Its description in RNAcentral is "bacterial SSU rRNA". It matches the Rfam family "Bacterial small subunit ribosomal RNA", at positions 49 to 907 of the family's 1533-position model. The record is from RNAcentral. Lineage: Bacteria; Bacillati; Bacillota; Bacilli; Caryophanales; Bacillaceae.
CUAUACAUGCAGUCGAGCGGACAGAAGGGAGCUUGCUCCCGGAUGUUAGCGGCGGACGGGUGAGUAACACGUGGGUAACCUGCCUGUAAGACUGGGAUAACUCCGGGAAACCGGAGCUAAUACCGGAUAGUUCCUUGAACCGCAUGGUUCAAGGAUGAAAGACGGUUUCGGCUGUCACUUACAGAUGGACCCGCGGCGCAUUAGCUAGUUGGUGGGGUAAUGGCUCACCAAGGCAACGAUGCGUAGCCGACCUGAGAGGGUGAUCGGCCACACUGGGACUGAGACACGGCCCAGACUCCUACGGGAGGCAGCAGUAGGGAAUCUUCCGCAAUGGACGAAAGUCUGACGGAGCAACGCCGCGUGAGUGAUGAAGGUUUUCGGAUCGUAAAGCUCUGUUGUUAGGGAAGAACAAGUGCGAGAGUAACUGCUCGCACCUUGACGGUACCUAACCAGAAAGCCACGGCUAACUACGUGCCAGCAGCCGCGGUAAUACGUAGGUGGCAAGCGUUGUCCGGAAUUAUUGGGCGUAAAGGGCUCGCAGGCGGUUUCUUAAGUCUGAUGUGAAAGCCCCCGGCUCAACCGGGGAGGGUCAUUGGAAACUGGGAAACUUGAGUGCAGAAGAGGAGAGUGGAAUUCCACGUGUAGCGGUGAAAUGCGUAGAGAUGUGGAGGAACACCAGUGGCGAAGGCGACUCUCUGGUCUGUAACUGACGCUGAGGAGCGAAAGCGUGGGGAGCGAACAGGAUUAGAUACCCUGGUAGUCCACGCCGUAAACGAUGAGUGCUAAGUGUUAGGGGGUUUCCGCCCCUUAGUGCUGCAGCUAACGCAUUAAGCACUCCGCCUGGGGAGUACGGUCGCAAGACUGAAACUCAAAGG